GAAUUGCGAAAAGUAAUGUGAAUUGCAGAAUUCCGUGAAUCAUCGAAUCUUUGAACGCAUAUUGCGCUCUUUGGUUCUCCAAAGAGCAUGCCUGUUUGAGUAUCAGUAAAUCAACUCAUACCCCCCUAUGGGUGUGUGGUCAUGAGCGCUCCGGUGCGAGGCGGUCGCCUUGCGUCGGUCGCUUGAAAGGGAACGGGAGCCGCAUAGGGCUACUUCCCGGCUGGCGUAGUAGUUCUCUUUGGAGAUUUCAUCGCCUAUGGCUGGGUAACUGCCUGUGACUGCCGACACAAAACACACGAUACGGUGCGCGUCUCGCGGCGUGCACAUGAACUUGAUCUCAAAUCAGGCAAGACUACCCGCUGAAUUUAA
Molecule: unclassified non-coding RNA, 369 nt
Filed under: uncultured fungus
Lineage: Eukaryota; Fungi
Description: sequence contains ITS1
Rfam family: 5.8S ribosomal RNA (bases 1-105)
Source: RNAcentral